AGCGAACGCUGGCGGCAGGCCUAACACAUGCAAGUCGAACGAACCUUUCGGGGUUAGUGGCGGACGGGUGAGUAACACGUGGGAACGUGCCUUUAGGUUCGGAAUAACUCAGGGAAACUUGUGCUAAUACCGAAUGUGCCCUUCGGGGGAAAGAUUUAUCGCCUUUAGAGCGGCCCGCGUCUGAUUAGCUAGUUGGUUGAGGUAAUGGCUCACCAAGGCGACGAUCAGUAGCUGGUCUGAGAGGAUGAUCAGCCACAUUGGGACUGAGACACGGCCCAAACUCCUACGGGAGGCAGCAGUGGGGAAUCUUGCGCAAUGGGCGAAAGCCUGACGCAGCCAUGCCGCGUGAAGGAUGAAGGUCUUAGGAUUGUAAAAUUCUUUCACCGGGGACGAUAAUGACGGUACCCGGAGAAGAAGCCCCGGCUAACUUCG
Molecule: ribosomal RNA, 432 nt
Filed under: uncultured bacterium
Lineage: Bacteria
Description: partial 16S ribosomal RNA
Rfam family: Bacterial small subunit ribosomal RNA
Source: RNAcentral